AGGUCUAUAACUACGGAAGUCAACCUUCUAGGAAUGCAUUGGUAUUUUGCUAUUAAAUCUUUUCUCCUUCUGACAGUCUGACCAUGAACACCGGGCCAAUCACUACUAAUUCACCUAUCAGUUUGGGAUGUGAGAAGAAGGUUCUAUGGAAUGUCAGAAUUGGAACAUGACAUUCUCUGGUUAGGCUUGUGUAGGUAUGCUAAGUGGGUGGGGCUUGCUGGGAUAUAAUUUGUUGAGCGUGCAUGGCAGGGAAACCCUGAUUGAAGAACUGUGAAGUUCACACUGGUCUGUGGGCCUCUCUGGGAAAACUGUCUUGAUUAUUAGUUGAUGCAGGAAGACAUGGCACAUUGUGGUUGGCACCAUCCUUAGGUUGGUAGUUCUGGGCUGUGUAAGAAAUCUCACUACACAGCUAGAAAGCAAGCCAGCAAGCAGAGUUCAUUCAUGGUCCCAGCUUCCAGGUUCCUGCCCUGCCCUUUGUCAGUGAUAAAUUGUGACCUAGGUAUAGUAGCCAAAUAAAGUCUGCCUUCCCUUAAGUUGCUUUUGGUCAGAAUAAAACUAGAAUUGAAUAUAUGGUUGCCAUCAAAUUAUGUUUAUACACGCUUAAUAUUACGGGUAAUACUACACACAGAUGCAGCUGAAGGCAUAAGAAACCCAUGUUGACUUUUGUUGCCAGCUUGGAGUGAAAGUCCUGUGAGUCCAGGGAUGCUCCCAAACAGGAUCAGGGAACUUCUCCAGCAGACGCUGCUGGCUACUGCAUGACAGAAACGCUGUGCAGGAUGAAGAGCUGCCACCUGAGAAGUCUGUGGUCUCAGGGGAGUAGGAGGAACAAGCAAGUGACACAGACUUCCUCAAAGAUGAACUACACGGGAUGAUUGCAUUGAAUUAACAUGCUAAGCUGUUUUUCCUUUAAAGAUGUAUGUACCUAUAUCAUACGUAUGCUAUAGGUGCAAAUUACAGAACUGUUUCCUGCAACUGAAUAUGGAUGGGCAAAGACUCGGCACACUGGUGUAUUUCCAGUACCGGUUGGAACUGUUUCCUGUGAAGAUCUAAAACCCUCCUCUGAAAAGUCCCAACCAUCAGGACUUAGAGAUCUUCCAUCUAUACAGCUCAAGAGAGGAUUUCAUAGCCACCAGUCAGCUUCAAAGAUAAAAGAUCAUGAACAACUAACUGGCCAACUCCAUCAGUCUCUGAUUGAGACUAUUUCAGAGUCAGCUAUCAGGUGCUACCACCCCCAUCUGCCCUUGGUGAUUAAGAGCUGAUACCAGUCCCUGUGAGAGUCUGACCCUGCACUUUCCACUGCCUGCUUCCUCCCCCUCACCCACCCUCCACUCCCCGCCUUCUGGUCUGAUUCUGAGAAAAACUUCUAACAAUGGAAAGCAUAAAAAAUUCAAAUAGACAUUUAUUGUGAACAAACAGUUUUCUAUGGAUAAAUGGGGGUGGGUGCUAACAUUCAGACUAAACUCCAUCCCACAGUUACCUAGCAACAGCCAGGUAGGCCUGACCCACCAUAAAAGGGGAUGCUUGCCCCCUCCUCUCUCUCUUGAUCUCUUGCUUCUCUCCUGGUCUUGUUCCCCCUCUCUUCCAUUCCCUUCCACCUCUCUCCACGUGAUCAUGGUUGGCCUCUACUUCUCUACUCUCUCCCUCUCUCUGCCUUUCUCUGCCUCUACUACUUUCUUAACUCCCCUCCCCAUGCCCUGAAUAAACUCUAUUCUAUACUAUAGUGUCAUGUGGCUGGUCCCUCAGGGGGAUGGGAUGUCUUGGCAUGGGCCCGCUGAGGCACCUCCUCUUCCAUACCUCACCACAUCCCCAUAGAACAUAUCUUAUAUCUCUUUAUUUUUUUUAUAAACACAUGGGGGUGGGGGAAGGAUUCAACUUAAACAUAAAAUUUCAGUCUGUAAAACAUUUUUGCUGUCUAGAUUUUUUUUUUUUUUUUGGCAACACUGUCAGAUUUCGUUGGCGAUAACACCUGGUUACUGGGAACAGGGCAACUAGCUAGUGACAUGUUGGUUUAGAUAUGCAUCUGAGACUGGAAACAGAAAAGCAUUCAGAUUUCUCCAGAAAUUCCAGUGAAUGACUUC
Long non-coding RNA from Mus musculus (house mouse), 2078 nucleotides. RefSeq annotates it as predicted gene, 48745. The record is from RefSeq and is a predicted model, not a curated record. The transcript is spliced from 3 exons. Lineage: Eukaryota; Metazoa; Chordata; Mammalia; Rodentia; Muridae.